CGUCUGUGGGAGGAAGAGUGGAGGAGGAGGCAGGGGAAGAAGGAAGGAGGAAGGGCUGUACUAGGUCACCGGUGAACGUUCUCAGCACACACAGAACUGCAGGGCUGCCCUCCUUCCCAGCUCCUCCCAGAAACAGACAGGUGGGACAGAAGAAAUCCUCAGUGUUGGAAGCUGACCACUAAAACCUGGCUAGAGAGAGCCAGGGUACUCAGGACUUGGGGAAGAGUUGAAGUAUAAUGUUGGAGAAAGACCUUAUGGGGAGCCUCACUUGACUAGAAGAAGAAUUAAUUUUUCCUUGGACCCAGGAAUCUGCUGAGGUGUUCACAGCCGCCUGCGCCUGCCAUGUCAGAUAGUAAAAGUGGUGUGAUGAUGACCAAGUUGGACGUGUCUCCAUAUGGCUGUGAACACUGUGGAUGCCCUCUGCUGCACCUUCUGAAGCGUGAAUGUUUCUUCUUUGGCAAAUGUAGAAUUGAGUAAAUAAACCUUGCCUCAAUGGAGAGAGACAUUUUAGAAUGACCUUCUGUCUGAAAAGUUCAUCCAGAGAGUCAUCACUUUGUACUCCUGAUCAGCGUGCUAAGCAAAGAGCAGCUGUGACUCAGUCUGGUGCACUGAAGAGAUGGUUCCUGGUUCUUUUAAAGGGCACUUGUGUCCAUUUUGCUGCUGUGGACAUCCAUCUUUCCUUAACAUUCCUAAAUUAAAAUUGAAGGCUUUAGGAAGAGUCGUUAUUAUUAUGAAGUUAUAUUAAGAAAUAAUAGCCUUUAAAAUAUAUUAACACAUUCUUAACAAAUGUUAUUGGGACAGGAAAAUAAAGCAAACAAAAAGAUACGAACAGAAGGGAUUCUGUAGGAUUUGUAGUUGAUUCAUUCAUUCUCUUUCUUUCAGACCAUUUCUUUCUGCUCUUUUUCUUCAUCUCUUCCUUCCCUAUCCUUCUCUCCCCUCCCUUCCCCUCCCAUUUCCUUUUCUCUUCUCUCCAACACUGGUUACUGAAAAUGCUUUAUUUAAUGAUUUUGUAAUGUCAGGACAUGCUCUGGCAACCUCUCAAAUACUUGGAAGGAUUAAUAUGAAGGAACAGGCUGGCAGCUUGCUGAAUUCAUUUAAACAACAAAUGCUAUGGAACGAACAAUUUUAAAAAUGAGUGCCAGCUGGUUUUUUAAAGUAACUUUUCUUACUUAACUGAAGACUGAUAUCAAUUGAACUAAUUCAAUGCAGAAGGGCCAUCUUCAUGCUGUUAAGUCCAAAGAAAUGUUGAGUUAUUGGUUUUUGCAAUAGUGGUGUACACAGCCUAUUUCACUCUAUCUUGAUAUCCGUUUUCAUAAAACCAUCACAAGAACCCAGAUAUAAUUCAAAUUCAGUCUGUCCAUUACAUACAGAUUAAAAUCUCAGACAUAAAACCAAAUGUCUGUUUUUUAAAAAUGAAAAACAAUUUUAAUUGACAAGUAAAAAUGAUCUUUACUGAUCACAUACAACACAUCCUUUUGGAAUAUGUAUACAUUGUAAAAUGGCUAAAUUGAGCUAAUUAACUUACUUAUUUUUUAGGGAGUGAGAACACUUAACAUUUCUUAGCAAUUUUCAAGACUAUAAUAUAUUGGUAUUAACUAUAGCCACCAUGUUUUACGAUAGAUCUAUUGAACUUAUUCCUCCUGUCUAACUUAAACUUUGUGUCCUUUGACCAACAUCUCAACUCCCUCCUCGACUACAGUUCCCUGGUAACUACCAUUUUACUCCUUACUUGUAUGAGUUCAAAGUUUUUAGAUUCCAAGUAUAGGUGAGAACAUGCAGUAUUUUUCUGUACCUGGUUUAUUUCACUUAAUAUCUCCUAGAUUUAUCUAUGUUGUCACAAGUGACAACAUUUUUGGUUUUUUUCAGGGUUAAGUAGUACUCCAUUGUGCAUAUAUACCAUAUUUUCUUUAUCCAUUCCUAUGCUGAUGGAUACUUAGUUUGAGUCCAUAUCUUGGCUAUUGUGAAUAAUGCUGUAAUGAACAGGGGAGUGUAGCUAUUUCUUUGACACACUGAUUUCAUUUCCUUUGUACAUGUACCCAGAAGUAGGAUUGCUGGAUCAUAUGGUGGUUCUAUUUUUACUUUUUUGAGGAACCUUUUUACUAUUUCCCAGAAUUACAGCACUAAUUGACAUUCACACUAACAAUGUACAAGAAUUCCCUUUUUUCCACAUCCUCACCAAAAUUUAUCUUUUGUCUUUUUGAUAAUAGUUAUUCUAACAGGUGUGAGGUGAUAUCUCAUUGUGGUUUUAAUUUGCUUUCUCUGAUGAUUAGUGACAUUGGGCAUUUUUCAUAUGCCUGUUGGCCAUUUGUGUGACUUCUUUUGAGAAAUGUUUGUUCAGAUGUGUUUCCUAUUUUUAAAUUGGGUUUUUUGUUUUCUAACUAUUGAGUUGUUUGCGUUCCUUAGAGAUUUUGAACCCUCAUCAGAUGUAUGGUUUGCAAAUGUUUUCUCCCAUCCCAUAGGUCGUCUCUCUACUGUGUUGAUUGUUUCCUUGACUGUGUCCAUUACAGACAAAUUAAAAUCACAGUAAUGAAACCACA
Molecule: long non-coding RNA, 2537 nt
Organism: Macaca mulatta (Rhesus monkey)
Lineage: Eukaryota; Metazoa; Chordata; Mammalia; Primates; Cercopithecidae
Source: RefSeq, a predicted model, not a curated record